This 252-nucleotide ribosomal RNA is filed under the name uncultured bacterium. Its description in RNAcentral is "partial 16S ribosomal RNA". It matches the Rfam family "Bacterial small subunit ribosomal RNA", at positions 524 to 776 of the family's 1533-position model. The record is from RNAcentral.
UACGUAGGGGGCUAGCGUUAUCCGGAAUUACUGGGCGUAAAGGGUGCGUAGGUGGUUUCUUAAGUCAGAGGUGAAAGGCUACGGCUCAACCGUAGUAAGCCUUUGAAACUGGGAAACUUGAGUGCAGGAGAGGAGAGUGGAAUUCCUAGUGUAGCGGUGAAAUGCGUAGAUAUUAGGAGGAACACCAGUUGCGAAGGCGGCUCUCUGGUCUGUAACUGACGCUGAGGUUCGAAAGCGUGGGUAGCAAACAGG